CAUCAAAUGCAUUUAACGGCACAAAAGACAUUUGGAGUGUAUAAAUAGUGAAUAGUAGUGGACAUAAACUUCAUUGCAUAGCACUCUCUGGUUUAGCUUACCCAAACCAUCGACCAUUCAUCACUCUAUAAAGACCUAAACCCAAAGAAAUCAUGAAGCAAGCCUCCAAGUUGAUGUUGGUCUUUCUCUUGGCAACUCUAAUGUGCGAGCCAUGGAUGGUGACAAGAGUUGAAGCAUGCCAGCGAGAUGUCGAUUGUGUGUUUCAAUGUCCGAGGGGCAAGUUGGCACUCUGUGAUGAGAGGAAUCACAAAUGUUCGUGCGUUGGAAGCGUUUCAACUAGUUCCUCUAAUGUCAAUGUCGAAAUCCCUAAUUAGUUGGUGUGUGGAAUCAACUCUUGUUGAUGUCUCUCAAUAAUCGAAUCAUCAAUAAAUUUGUCUAAUCGUA
This is a long non-coding RNA of Syzygium oleosum, 444 nucleotides long. RefSeq lists it as uncharacterized. The transcript is spliced from 2 exons. The record is from RefSeq and is a predicted model, not a curated record. Lineage: Eukaryota; Viridiplantae; Streptophyta; Magnoliopsida; Myrtales; Myrtaceae.